This is a non-coding RNA of Podospora conica, 83 nucleotides long. NCBI's taxonomy places the organism in Eukaryota, Fungi, Ascomycota, Sordariomycetes, Sordariales, Podosporaceae. The record is from the annotation of a GenBank genome assembly.
GGCUCCGUGGUGCAAUGGUAGCAUGAGGCUGUGGUUUGCCCGACUCCAAGUCUAGCUUCCGGGUUCGAAUCCCGGCGGAGUUA